AAAAAAAUUGGUAAAGUAUUUUUUAAUGCAAUUGCAAGUGUCAUUGUGCAUACAGGAAAGGGAAAUGCCAUUGAAUUACUUGACUUGGAUUUCUGAAAGUUAUUUGAUAAACAAAUGUUUCCAAAUAAGCAUCAAACCUUAUGUCUGCAGUAAUCAGACCUAUAAUACAGAGAAAUGUAGACAAACUGACACAAUAAGGAUGAGAGUUCAGUCACACUGAAGCAACUUGAGGAACCAGAAGUUUAUGGCACAAGUCCUUGUGUAUAAAAAAUAACAAUAAUCAUAGCUCAACUGGAGUGUCAUAAAUUUUCUGGCAAAACAGUUGGGAAGGAUACACACUCCAGAUUUUAAUGAAAAAUGAU
Molecule: long non-coding RNA, 362 nt
Filed under: Gallus gallus (chicken)
Lineage: Eukaryota; Metazoa; Chordata; Aves; Galliformes; Phasianidae
Description: lncRNA (ENSGALG00010019826.1)
Source: RNAcentral